GUCCAGCUGAAAGGGCUUCUACAGGACUUCUACUGCAACCUUGGCCCCAUUUUACAGAUGCGGAAACAGGCGCAGAAGAGGGAAAGGCCACCCGCUCCGGGGCACAAGGGCAGAAAGUGGCCGACUUGGACGGGAACCCCACAGCCAGAGCUCCCUUCUCCUCUGCAGCACCUGAACGCUGAAUGGAGAGGCAGCUAUGCCGGGCCCCGACGGGAAGCUGCCAGAGAAGUCGGUGGUGCGCAACCGUGGGGAAGGCUUCUCUAAUCUGCCCUCAAAUGAGCUUCCAGAGAGGACAUGUCUGCGGGUUGGCAUGGCUGCCUGGGGAUGGCUUGGAUGGGGAAGAGGAAGGCAAGUAAAGGAGGUAGUAUGGUCAAUCACUCAUCACCUUUAAACAAGCCCUAAAUCAUGCAAAGCACCAGCAUAGGUGCCAGCCGUGUGUGUCUGUCUGUCUGUGUCUGUGUGUCCGUGUGUCCGUGUGGUGGGUUAUAGCAGACAGAAAAGAGAACCAGAGAGGACACAAAGGAAAAUAAGAUAGAGCUUGUUUACUCAGAGAGUAAACAGAUGUCUUUUUAAGUAUAUACUAUGCUGGGUACUGAGGGUACAAAAGUGAACAACCAAGAUCUUACUCAAAUAACUGUAUUAUAGCUUGAAGGUUGAUCACUGCCAAAGACAGCCCCAAAACACAGCCACUUAGAGGAAAGAGCGAGCGCUUCUCAUUGUGGAGAGCAGAGAAGGCUUCUGGAAGAGGUGUCAUUUGCCUGAGGCCCUGAAGGGUGGAUCAGAUUUGGACCAAGGGAGACUGAGGAGAGAAUUUUGGUGGAGGGAACAGCUUGUACAGAACAUGAAGUUGGGGGAGGUUGGGGGGCCUGAGUAGGAACAGUGGGCAGUGCAGGGUUUUUUUUGUUUUUGUUUUUUUUCCAUUCUGGGGAUGUGUAAGAGAAAGGGACAGGAAAGUGCAGCCAGAAUGCAAAAGGUCUGAAAGAUUUCCUUCAGUGGCGGAGGAAGCACACGACCAAGUGUCAGGAGACUAGGCUCUGGUCCCUCCUCUUAAGCUGGAAGCCGGGGAGUCAUUCUUGCUUCCUCCUCAGCCACCGUCUUCCAAUCCAAAAGCAAACACCGUUCAUUCCGCUUCCAAUAUUAAGUCUACUGGCUGCUCCAUUUCUACCAUUAACAUGCUAUCCACAUGCUCAUAAUUUCUGCCUGAUCCUGGCAAUACCCCCUGGCUGCAGAGCCAGUGCACACUGAGGGGAGGGAGUAACACGUC
This 1264-nucleotide long non-coding RNA is filed under the name Ursus maritimus (polar bear). RNAcentral's name for it is "lncRNA (ENSUMAG00000023546.1)". Lineage: Eukaryota; Metazoa; Chordata; Mammalia; Carnivora; Ursidae. The record is from RNAcentral.